This 331-nucleotide long non-coding RNA is filed under the name Nicotiana benthamiana. Its description in RNAcentral is "long non-coding RNA (NBEN_LNC017566)". Lineage: Eukaryota; Viridiplantae; Streptophyta; Magnoliopsida; Solanales; Solanaceae. The record is from RNAcentral.
CUAGUGAAUCAAUUCAUCAACCACAUUUCGAAAAAAGAAGUUGAACAUGGUACAAAGAAAUGGAGUUCCCAGAAUCUACAGAAUCUGCUGCUAAGUCUGCGCAAAUUCGCUGCCUAAAUAGUGCAAAACUGGGGAACUUUUGAGUUGGCUAUCGGUCUAAACAAAUGCCCCAAAACACAAUGAAUCCAGCAUACGUAGGAAAACCUCCAAUAAACCGAUUACCUUCGAGAUGUUUUAAUGAAACAUCUUGACAACAGAAGACACAGGUACCAAACAUCUUCACAGAAAAAACAUUUUAGCACUUUGACUUUCAAGAAUUACAAUCAGCCAA